Ribosomal RNA from Gossypium raimondii (Peruvian cotton), 144 nucleotides. It matches the Rfam family "Bacterial large subunit ribosomal RNA", at positions 2310 to 2451 of the family's 2925-position model. The record is from Rfam. NCBI's taxonomy places the organism in Eukaryota, Viridiplantae, Streptophyta, Magnoliopsida, Malvales, Malvaceae.
GCAAUGGCUUCCUCGGGCCGGAUGGAGAUUGGCCCUCGAGUGCAAAGGCAGAGAAGAGAGCUUGACUGUAAGACGCACCUGUCGAGUAGGGAUGAAAGUCGACCUUAGUGAUCCGACGGUGCCGAGUGGAAAGGCCGUUGCUCA